Molecule: signal recognition particle RNA, 263 nt
Filed under: Echeneis naucrates (live sharksucker)
Lineage: Eukaryota; Metazoa; Chordata; Actinopteri; Carangiformes; Echeneidae
Description: Metazoan signal recognition particle RNA (ENSENLG00000013967.1)
Rfam family: Metazoan signal recognition particle RNA
About the family: The signal recognition particle (SRP) is a universally conserved ribonucleoprotein. It is involved in the co-translational targeting of proteins to membranes.
Source: Rfam by way of RNAcentral
AUCAGGAAGUGUGUCCCUCGCCUGUAAUCCAAGUUACCGGGAGGCUGAGGCUGGAGGAGCUCUGGGCUGCAGCGGACUAUGUCGAUCGGGUGUCCGCACUAAGUUCGGUAUCGAUAUGGUGCUCCGGAGGGAGCCCGGGAUCACCAGGUCGUCUAAGGAGGGGUGCACCGGCCCAGGUCGGACACGGAGCAGGUCAAAGGUCAAAGCCCCUGUGAAUAGACGCUGUAGUUCAGCCUGAGUAAGACAGCGGGACCCGGUCUUUA